Molecule: ribosomal RNA, 406 nt
Filed under: uncultured bacterium
Lineage: Bacteria
Description: partial 16S ribosomal RNA
Rfam family: Bacterial small subunit ribosomal RNA
Source: RNAcentral
AUUGAACGCUGGCGGCAGGCCUAACACAUGCAAGUCGAACGAGUGGCGGACGGGUGAGUAAUGUCUGGGAAACUGCCCGAUGGAGGGGGAUAACUACUGGAAAAGGUAGCUAAUACCGCUUACCACUGGAUGUGCCUAGAUGGGAUUAGCUAGUAGGUGGGGUAACGGCUCAUCUAGGCGACGAUCCCUAGCUGGUCUGAGAGGAGGACCAGCCACACUGGAACUGAGACACGGUCCAGACUCCUACGGGAGGCAGCAGUAGGGAAUAUUGGACAAUGGGCGCAAGCCUGAUGCAGCAAUGCCGCGUGUAUGAAGAAGGCCUUCGGGUUGUAAAGUACUUUCAGCGAGGAGGCGUUACUCGCAGAAGAAGCAACGGCUAACUCCGUGCCAGCCGCCGCGGUAAUUC